RNAcentral lists this ribosomal RNA (207 nucleotides) under uncultured Mesotoga sp. Its description in RNAcentral is "partial 16S ribosomal RNA". It matches the Rfam family "Bacterial small subunit ribosomal RNA", at positions 568 to 774 of the family's 1533-position model. Lineage: Bacteria; Thermotogati; Thermotogota; Thermotogae; Kosmotogales; Kosmotogaceae. The record is from RNAcentral.
AGCGUAGGUGGCCUAACAUGUCAACUGUGAAAACCCGGAGCUCAACUCCGGACUUGCAGUUGAAACUGGUAGGCUUGAGGACGGUAGAGGAAGACGGAACUGCCAGUGUAGGGGUAAAAUCCUUAGAUAUUGGCAGGAACGCCGGUGACGAAGGUGGUUUUCUGGGCCGGUUCUGACACUGAUGCCCGAAAGCCAGGGGAGCGAACG